CCUACGUGAGGCAGCAGUGAGGAAUAUUGGUCAAUGGGCGCAGGCCUGAACCAGCCAAGUCGCGUGAGGGAAGACUGCCCUCUGGGUUGUAAACCUCUUUUCUAAGGGAAGAAUAAUGCCUACGUGUAGUCAGAUGCACGUAACUUAUGAAUAAGCAUCGGCUAACUCAGUGCCAGCAGCCGCGGUAAUACGGAGGACGCGAGCGUUAUCCGGAUUUAUUGGGUUUAAAGGGUGCGUAGGCGGUAUUUUAAGUUAGUGUGAAAACGUCGGGGCGUCACCGUGAUUGUCCAUUAAAACUGGAGUACUAGAGUACAGACGAGGUAGUCGGAAUAAGUGAAGUAGCGGUGAAAUGCUUAGAUAUAACUUAGAACCCCGAUAGCGAAGGCAGCUUACCAGACUGUUACUGACGCUGAAGCACGAGAGCGUGGGUAGCGAACAGGAUUAGAUACCCAGUAGUC
RNAcentral lists this ribosomal RNA (458 nucleotides) under uncultured bacterium. RNAcentral describes it as "partial 16S ribosomal RNA". It matches the Rfam family "Bacterial small subunit ribosomal RNA", at positions 338 to 795 of the family's 1533-position model. The record is from RNAcentral.